Molecule: ribosomal RNA, 492 nt
Filed under: uncultured bacterium
Lineage: Bacteria
Description: partial 16S ribosomal RNA
Rfam family: Bacterial small subunit ribosomal RNA
Source: RNAcentral
AGUGAACGCUGGCGGUAGGCCUAACACAUGCAAGUCGAACGGCCGCACAGUAAGAGCUUGCUCUUACGGGUGGCGAGUGGCGGACGGGUGAGGAAUACAUCGGAAUCUACUUUUUCGUGGGGGAUAAAGUAGGGAAACUUACGCUAAUACCGCAUACGACCUACGGGUGAAAGCAGGGGAUCUUCGGACUUUGCGCGAUUGAAUGAGCCGAUGUCGGAUUAGCUAGUUGGCGGGGUAAAGGCCCACCAAGGCGACGAUCCGUAGCUGGUCUGAGAGGAUGGUCAGCCACACUGGAACUGAGACACGGUCCAGACUCCUACGGGAGGCAGCAGUGGGGAAUAUUGGACAAUGGGCGCAAGCCUGAUCCAGCCAUACCGCGUGGGUGAAGAAGGCCUUCGGGUUGUAAAGCCCUUUUGUUGGGAAAGAAAAGCAGCAGGUUAAUACCCCGCUGUUCUGACGGUACCCAAAGAAUAAGCACCGGCUAACUUCGUG